Molecule: RNA transcript, 2424 nt
Organism: Folsomia candida
Lineage: Eukaryota; Metazoa; Arthropoda; Collembola; Entomobryomorpha; Isotomidae
Exons: 5
Source: RefSeq, a predicted model, not a curated record
AUUGACACUAGUUUCGUCCAAAUCUGAGAGUAUACGUUGGGAGACCUCCAUUGUCAGUGGAGCCGUGGCGUCACAUUCGUACCUCGACUACCUCGAGAUACCGGCCGACGUCCGAUUAUCAACCCCGCUUACAUCCGUGAACAAUCAAACCGAUCGGUCGAUGCCACCGUCUCCUUUGAAAUACUGCUCGUCGUGGACAACUUAAUUUACAACUAUUUCAGCGGCAACGUCGCACGAAUCACGGAAUAUUUCGCAAUUUUUGUGAGAGCGGCAAACACUCGAUUCUCCGCCAGCACCGAUCCCAGAAUUACUUUGAAAGUUAGCGGGAUGGUUUUGAUGACGUCCCUGGAAAGCCAGCCGUUCCUCGAGAACCAGAAAUUGCCCGAUGGAACUUAUAACUCUUAUGAUGUUUUACCGGAAUUUGGUCGAUAUGUCUCCUCCACACCCUCGCUACCCCCCAACCAUCUCGGAGCACUCAUUUCCAGCGUAAACUUCGACUCAGUUUUCGGGCUCGCUUAUAUGCGCGCGGCAUGUUUGACAAAUUACAAAGUCUCGCUGUCUCAUGACGACACGGGCGCCACUUUUUCAGGCGUGAGAACAUUCGCGCAUGAAAUUGGGCACAAUCUUGGCGCUCCGCACGAUGGUGACGUUGCCAGUGGCGCAGGCGCCUGCCCCUCCACCGAGAGCUACCUGAUGGCCAUAAAUUAAAUAUGCUAAUUAAAAGUAUGGAAGUUUUUCUGUCGAUUAAUACUAGAAGUUCAACAUAUUCGCGAGCGCCGAAGGCGCGAGCGGGUUUGGGGCGCAUUGAUGAUCUUGCACACCUUAAAAAUAUGCCUAGUUUAGGCCCUGUGUAUUUCUUAAGGGGCCGCUACACGGCCAAAAAAAAAACGUUAAGCUUGUGGUGACAACAUACUAUACCUUUCACAUACAUCUAUCGCGUGGUAGUAAAAUGAGAAAAAUAGAAAAUAAAUUGUCCAAGUUUAGCAUCAUUCCGUUAUAUUUCAUCCAAUCUAGUAUUGCGGAAAUGCCAGAUUUUUCAAUCGACUUUAUGUGGGAUAAGGGAACUAUGAGGCCAUAUUUGAUUGAAAUUAAUAGAUUUCCCUGGCUUUCAUAUGCAGACACCUGGCCGGCGGCUAGACGUCAUCUGGCCGAAAUGUUAACUGUGGUUGGUUUCAAAAUCCAAAACUUGUCAGGAGACACCUCGACGACUAAUGUGACAGAAUGUGUCAAGAUAAUUUCUGACAACGUGGAUCUCGAUGUGGGUGAUGGUGACUUAAUGUCACUCAUUGAAGGAGAAGACGAACUCAACCGAAUCAAGAACACCGGAUACUCGAGAAUAUGCCCGACAAGUGACGCGGCAAAGUAAGAAUGACGAAUACUACCUAGCAAACCAUUAGGGCAUGCAACAUCGAAUUUAGUUCGAUAUUUCGUUAUUUCGAUAUUUUAACAUUGGGAUUAAAUGGGAUAUCGAAUUUUCGAGAUCUCGAAAUAUGUCGAACUUGGAUUUUUCGAUAUUUCGAUAUUUUAACAAAGAGUUUAGGUUAGAAUACUCCAAUAUCGAUAUUUCGAUAUUACAUGUCCUACUUUUAAGCUGGCACAAGGAGCAAUUUUAGGAAACUCAAGAAAAACGUCUCCUCCAUGGAUCCACGUCUCACACAGGCAAACAUCCAGUGGCAGCCCGUGACUCUGGACUCCAAUACAUUGAGUCAAUCCCCUAGAGAAUCGCGGUGGUGGCUGCGUUAAUGUGCACGUGCACGCAGUAUGUCAUAUAAAUAAAUAAAACUAAUAAAUGUCAAAUUGGUUGCAAAUUAAUACUAUUUGACCUGAAUGGUGACCUGACACAUGGUCAUGAGGUCAAAAAAUUAAAUUUUCUUAUGGGAACUAAUUUUAAAAGAACUUUCGCCACGAAUUCAACGACGCCAAAAUUUUCGACUUUUGACCUCGUCGUCGGGGUCAUGGGGCAAAAAAAAAUUAAAUUUUCUUAUGGGAAGUAAUUUUAAAAGAAAUUUCGCCACGAAUUAAACGACGCCAAAAUUUUCGACUUUAGACCACGUCGUCGGGGUCAUGGGGCAAAAAAAAUUAAAUUUUCUUAUGGGAAGUAAUUUUAAAAGAACUUUCGCCACGAAUUAAACGACGCCAAAAUUUUCGACUUUAGACCUCGUCGUCGGGGUCAUGGGGCAAAAAAAAUUAAAUUUUCUUAUGGGAAGUAAUUUUAAAAGAAAUUUCGCCACGAAUUAAACGACGCCAAAAUUUUCGACUUUUGACCUCGUCGUCGGGGUCAUGGGGCAAAAAAAAUUAAAUUUUCUUAUGGGAAGUAAUUUUAAAAGAACUUUCGCCACGAAUUAAACGCCAAAAUUUUGGACCAUAGCGACGCGGUCAAAGGUCGGACUCGCUAUGUACACAGUAUUGCACAUAAGUAAAGAA